Molecule: ribosomal RNA, 282 nt
Filed under: uncultured soil bacterium
Lineage: Bacteria
Description: partial 16S ribosomal RNA
Rfam family: Bacterial small subunit ribosomal RNA
Source: RNAcentral
AGAAUCAACGCUGGCGGCGUGCCUAACACAUGCAAGUCGAACGCGGUUAUUUCAGCUCCGCAAGGCGUUGGGAUAACUGAGUGGCGAACGGGUGAGUAACACGUGGGUGAUCUACCUUCGAGUGGGGGAUAACGUUCCGAAAGGAACGCUAAUACCGCAUGACGUUCUGGGUUUGAAGACCUGGAAACCAAAGCCGGGACCGCAAGGCCUGGCGCUUGGAGAGGAGCCCGCGUCCGAUUAGCUAGUUGGCGGGGUAACGGCCCACCAAGGCGACGAUCGGUA